UGGUUGACAAAACGGAUAGGGAUGCGGC
Molecule: small RNA, 28 nt
Filed under: Bombyx mori (domestic silkworm)
Lineage: Eukaryota; Metazoa; Arthropoda; Insecta; Lepidoptera; Bombycidae
Description: ovarian small RNA-35223
Source: RNAcentral